UACGUAGGGGGCAAGCGUUGUCCGGAUUUAUUGGGCGUAAAGAGCGUGUAGGCGGCCAGACAGGUCCGUUGUGAAAACUCGAGGCUCAACCUCGAGAUGUCGAUGGAAACCGUCUGGCUAGAGUCCGGAAGAGGAGUGUGGAAUUCCUGGUGUAGCGGUGAAAUGCGCAGAUAUCAGGAGGAACGCCAAAAGCGAAGGCAGCUCUCUGGGUCCCUACCGACGCUGGGGUGCGAAAGCCAUGGGGAGCGAACAGG
RNAcentral lists this ribosomal RNA (254 nucleotides) under uncultured bacterium. RNAcentral describes it as "partial 16S ribosomal RNA". It matches the Rfam family "Bacterial small subunit ribosomal RNA", at positions 524 to 776 of the family's 1533-position model. The record is from RNAcentral.